GCGGUCUUUCCGCCGGAGCCAGAGAAGCAGCAGUUUACUGCGGGGAACUGUGUCCUCGAACAUGCCGAAAACUCCGAAUUCAGACCUUCACUGUGUGAGAUGGGUUGAUGAACGAAGGAGUGCUGGUGAGGAGGAGCACGUGGUUGGUGGGGGUUGAGACCAGUAUUGAUUUCUGGACAAUGAUGUAACUAUACAGCAGUGAUUUUAGAGAUCGCUGAAAUGGUGGUGCAGCAUGGCUUUGCCCAGGUGGUGCUGAUUGAUCUAAUUAAAUUGGGUCAGAUCAGGUAUGCAUUUUUCUUUUAUAAAAUCUACAUUAAGCUGAAUUUUUGUAUUGUUCUGCAAGCCAGUGAUGAAACAAAGUUAUCCCUGUCUGAAAUGACCAUGUGGAGUCUUGGUAACCUGAGGCUUGUCUUGUUAGUUGCUGAAGAUUUUUUUUUUUUUUUUUUUUUUAAAGGUACAAUCUUGUGUGUAUGCACUAACUGACUGUAUGGCAUUCUCAUUUCAGGUGUUGAAGGAACUUCUGUUCUGCACUGGGUUUAGCAUGAGAAAUGCUGGAGACAAGACUGGAAGGAUCAGGAUGCAUCUUUAUACUAUAAUGAAACGUUUGGAGUGCUGGUCAGUUAGGCUGUGUAAUAUGCACCGUUAAGCAGUCUGUUGCUUUAAUGCCUUAAUUGUCAAGUUUCAUUUACUUCAGUGUAAUGACAACUGGUCAUUUGGAUGAAAUAAAAUUUUAUGAUUUACUACCUGAAGCUGUAAU
RNAcentral lists this long non-coding RNA (757 nucleotides) under Astyanax mexicanus (Mexican tetra). RNAcentral describes it as "lncRNA (ENSAMXG00005002688.1)". The stretch from base 339 to 410 matches the Rfam family "Small nucleolar RNA R38". The record is from RNAcentral. Lineage: Eukaryota; Metazoa; Chordata; Actinopteri; Characiformes; Acestrorhamphidae.